GACGAACGCUGGCGGCGGGCUUAACACAUGCAAGUCGAACGGAAAGGCCCCUUUGGGGGUACUCGAGUGGCGAACGGGGGCGUAACACGGGAGUAACCUGCCCUUGACUUCGGGAUAACGUCAGGAAACUGGGGCUAAUACCGGAAAGGAAUCCUUGCUGCAUGGUGGGGGUUGGAAAGCUUCGGCGGUUUUGGAUGGACGCGCGGCGUAUCAGCGUGUUGGUGGGGUAGUGGCUUACCCAGGCUCUGACGGGUAGCCGGCCUGAGAGGGUGACCGGCCAUAUUGGGUCUGACAGGCGGCCCCGGCUCCUACGGGAGGCAGCUGGGGGGAAUCUUGCACCAUCGGCGCCGGCCUGAUGCAGAAGCGCCUCGUGCGGGAUGACGGCCUUCUGGUUGUAAACCGCUUUCAGCAGGGGCGAAGCUUGUGGUGACGGUACCUGCAGAAGAAGCACCGGCUAACUACGUG
This 465-nucleotide ribosomal RNA is filed under the name uncultured bacterium. Its description in RNAcentral is "partial 16S ribosomal RNA". It matches the Rfam family "Bacterial small subunit ribosomal RNA", at positions 28 to 507 of the family's 1533-position model. The record is from RNAcentral.